RNAcentral lists this ribosomal RNA (497 nucleotides) under uncultured bacterium. RNAcentral's name for it is "partial 16S ribosomal RNA". It matches the Rfam family "Bacterial small subunit ribosomal RNA", at positions 28 to 507 of the family's 1533-position model. The record is from RNAcentral.
GAUGAACGCUGGCGGCGUGCCUAAUACAUGCAAGUCGAGCGAACGGACGAUAAGCUUGCUUCUCUGAUGUUAGCGGCGGACGGGUGAGUAACACGUGUAUAACCUACCUAUAAGACUGGGAUAACUUCGGGAAACCGGAGCUAAUACCGGAUAAUAUUUUGAACCGCAUGGUUCAAAAGUGAAAGACGGUCUUGCUGUCACUUAUAGAUGGAUCCGCGCUGCAUUAGCUAGUUGGUAAGGUAACGGCUUACCAAGGCAACGAUGCAUAGCCGACCUGAGAGGGUGAUCGGCCACACUGGAACUGAGACACGGUCCAUACUCCUACGGGAGGCAGCAGUAGGGAAUCUUCCGCAAUGGGCGAAAGCCUGACGGAGCAACGCCGCGUGAGUGAUGAAGGUCUUCGGAUCGUAAAACUCUGUUAUUAGGGAAGAACAUAUGUGUAAGUAACUGUGCACAUCUUGACGGUACCUAAUCAGAAAGCCACGGCUAACUACGUG